UCUCCGUAGGUGAACCUGCGGAGGGAUCAUUACUGAGUGAGGGCCCCCGGCCCGACCUCCAACCCUUUGUGUAUCUCGACCCUGUUGCCUCGGGGGGCGACCCGGCCGUCCGACGUCGGACGCCCCCCAGAGGAUCAAUCAAACAACCUGCAUCUUUGCGUCGGAGUAUUGAAAGCAAAUCAAUCAAAACUUUCAACAACGGAUCUCUUGGUUCUGGUAUCGAUGAAGAACGCAGC
Molecule: unclassified non-coding RNA, 236 nt
Filed under: uncultured fungus
Lineage: Eukaryota; Fungi
Description: sequence contains ITS1, 5.8S rRNA gene
Rfam family: 5.8S ribosomal RNA (bases 188-236)
Source: RNAcentral